RNAcentral lists this ribosomal RNA (377 nucleotides) under uncultured eukaryote. Its description in RNAcentral is "partial 18S ribosomal RNA". It matches the Rfam family "Eukaryotic small subunit ribosomal RNA", at positions 592 to 976 of the family's 1831-position model. The record is from RNAcentral.
CAAUAGCGUAUAUUUAAGUUGCUGCAGUUAAAAAGCUCGUAGUUGGAUUUCGGGUGGGAAUGGCCGGUCCGCCGUUUCGGUGUGCACUUGCUACGCCCACCUUGCUGCCGGGGACGUGCUCUUGAGUUCACGCUCGGGCCACGGAGUCGGCGAGGUUACUUUGAGUAAAUUAGAGUGUUCAAAGCAGGCCUACGCUCUGAAUACAUUAGCAUGGAAUAACACGAUAGGACUCUGGCCUAUCUUGUUGGUCUGUAGGACCGGAGUAAUGAUUAAGAGGGACAGUCGGGGGCAUUCGUAUUUCAUUGUCAGAGGUGAAAUUCUUGGAUUUAUGAAAGACGAACUACUGCGAAAGCAUUUGCCAAGGAUGUUUUCAUUAA